RNAcentral lists this ribosomal RNA (327 nucleotides) under uncultured eukaryote. Its description in RNAcentral is "partial 18S ribosomal RNA". It matches the Rfam family "Eukaryotic small subunit ribosomal RNA", at positions 1470 to 1796 of the family's 1831-position model. The record is from RNAcentral.
CCCUUAGAUGUCCUGGGCCGCACGCGCGCUACACUGAUGCAUUCAACGAGUUUUACCUUGGCCGAGAGGCCUGGGCAAUCUUUUAAACCUGCAUCGUGAUAGGGAUAGAUUAUUGCAAUUAUUAAUCUUGAACGAGGAAUUCCCAGUAAGUGCGAGUCAUCAGCUCGCGUUGAUUACGUCCCUGCCCUUUGUACACACCGCCCGUCGCUACUACCGAUUGGGAAAAUUUUAGAGAGUCCUGGACUGAUGAUUGUUCGGCUUCACGGCCUUACUUUCGUCGGGAAAGAAUUCGAUAAUAUUUUUCUAGAGGAAGUAAAAGUCGUAACA